GCCCAAAGAAGUGACUGCCCAACACUCGCAACGUUUCAUAUUUCUCCUCUGCGCCUCGGUUGUACCAUUUGAAAGGCCGAGGCUCGACUCUGAGCUUGCCAUCUUUCUGUCCAUAGAGUCCUGCUUCUGGGCCUGCUGACAGUCGGCUAUUGAUGGUGGGACCAGAAGAGGAACUGAAAGACAGAAGCAGCAGCAGCAGCCUUGGGACCAGUGAGAGCUCGGUUGGAGUGAUAGCUCCUUCUGUUGAUGACUGAACCUCCAGUACUUCAGAUGGACCAACAGUUGGGGACAAUGACCUGCUUUUCUCAGGCAUAAGGUUUACGAAGGAAGAGGGAGAUGGAGGGAGAGGACGUCUUGGAGCCAGCGAUCCACCUGCAGUAGCUUACGACUCUGACUGCACAGCAGGAGGAGACAGUGAUGGUGCUGAACCUCACACCUAACAUUCAGAUUGAAAACAAAACAGAAAACAAACAAGAGCAGUGGACAGCCUUUGCUUCUAACCUGCUUCAAAGAGCCCUGGCUGCCAGUGACCCUGUCAACAGUUCCCUACCAUUUCUUUCACUUUUAUAGGGUACGGUGGAUUCCAGGUAUUCGCGGGGGAAGUGAACUGGUGGGGUCCCAGGCAGCCCCCACACAAUGCCAUGGCAGCAGCAUGGCUUUCACUGGGCCUCGCGCUGCUGCCUUUACGAGAGCCAGCCAGACGGAUCCCCUUCACGCCGUAAAGCCAUCAAUAAGGGGAACAAAGAGGGCAGGUGCUGAGGACUGCAUUGAGUGCUCACCUGCACCCAGCAGGGGAAUAUAGUGCGUCCAGCCAUGCCAAGAGACCCUCCACAUUCACAUCCCCACUCACCAGGCACUAAUGGGCUAAGAUGGCAAGCCAAAGAGAAAUUAUUUCUCUUUAUUAUAGACUGAAGCAAAUCAUCAGCUGAUGGUGUUGAAUAUGACAGUACAUUUACCUUAUGCACUGUUUAGUUCAACCAAACUUUGGCUUCUGCAAUAUCUGAAGCAGGCUGAGACAGAAUGUUGUUAACUGGGUAUUUAUCAACAUUUAAUUGGUAACAGAAAUGAGUAUGAGGGAGCUGACUCUUGGAUCUGCUUUUCAGAUUUUUAUGUACUGAAUUGAAUUUUAAAUAGGAAGAUUUGUUACUGGCUUGCUGAAGUCCUUAUACCCCUGCAGUAUUUUACAUUUGAUCACAUUUCGACCUCAAAGAAUGUAUUUGAUUGGAAUCUUGUGUCCAGGCCAGCACAAGGAAGCACAAAGUUGCAAAGUGGAAGGAAAAUAUUUUUUUUCUAUUGUAGACUUUUAUUUCAAAGACUGCAUUUUUUCUUGUAUUCUGUUUGUUGUGUAUUGAUUUCGAUUUUUAUUUUAGUGUUACUCUUUAGUCUUUAUUUCAGUAGCUCUUCUUGUGACCUGUGUUUCCAUUAACCAAAUAAAUGUGAAAUUUUCUUAAUGGAAAUAUGUCAAUUUAGAAAAAACUUAGUUUUUUCAAUAGAAAGUUUUUGCACUAGGAGGAGAUGCU
Molecule: long non-coding RNA, 1520 nt
Organism: Xiphophorus maculatus (southern platyfish)
Lineage: Eukaryota; Metazoa; Chordata; Actinopteri; Cyprinodontiformes; Poeciliidae
Exons: 5
Source: RefSeq, a predicted model, not a curated record